RNAcentral lists this ribosomal RNA (253 nucleotides) under uncultured bacterium. RNAcentral describes it as "partial 16S ribosomal RNA". It matches the Rfam family "Bacterial small subunit ribosomal RNA", at positions 524 to 776 of the family's 1533-position model. The record is from RNAcentral.
UACGUAGGUGGCAAGCGUUACUCGGAAUCACUAGGCGUAAAGCGCAGGUAGGAGGUUUAGUAAGUCUGUUGUGAAAGCUCCCGGCUUAACUGGGAGAGGUCAACGGAAACUGCUAGGCUGGAGUGCGGUAGAGGUAGCUGGAAUUCCCGGUGUAACGGUGAAAUGCGUAGAUAUCGGGAGGAAUACCUAUGGCGAAAGCAGGCUACUGGACCGUCACUGACUCUGAUCUGCGAAAGCUAGGGGAGCAAACAGG